Molecule: transfer RNA, 68 nt
Filed under: Marmota marmota marmota (Alpine marmot)
Lineage: Eukaryota; Metazoa; Chordata; Mammalia; Rodentia; Sciuridae
Also listed under: 1 other name
Rfam family: tRNA
About the family: Transfer RNA (tRNA) molecules are approximately 80 nucleotides in length. Their secondary structure includes four short double-helical elements and three loops (D, anti-codon, and T loops).
Source: Rfam by way of RNAcentral
GUUGUGGCUCAGUGGUAAAGCGCUUGCCUAGAAUGUGUGAGGCACUGGGUUCAAGUCUCAGCACAACA